GGGGAUGUGGUUCAGUAGUAGAAUGCUUGCUUGGCAUGCAUCAGGCCCUAGGUUUGAUCACUAGUACCACCA
This 72-nucleotide transfer RNA is filed under the name Heterocephalus glaber (naked mole-rat). It matches the Rfam family "tRNA". From Rfam's summary of the family: Transfer RNA (tRNA) molecules are approximately 80 nucleotides in length. The record is from Rfam by way of RNAcentral. Lineage: Eukaryota; Metazoa; Chordata; Mammalia; Rodentia; Bathyergidae.